UACGAAGGGGGCUAGCGUUGCUCGGAAUUACUGGGCGUAAAGCGCACGUAGGCGGCUUCUUAAGUCGGUGGUGAAAUCCUGGAGCUCAACUCCAGAACUGCCUCGAUACUGGGAGCUCGAGUCCGGGAGAGGUGAGUGGGAACUGCGAGUGUAGAGGUGAAAUUCGUAGAUAUUCGCAAGAACACCAGUGGCGAAGGCGGCUCACUGGCCCGGUACUGACGCUGAGGUGCGGAAAGCGAGGG
RNAcentral lists this ribosomal RNA (242 nucleotides) under uncultured bacterium. RNAcentral describes it as "partial 16S ribosomal RNA". It matches the Rfam family "Bacterial small subunit ribosomal RNA", at positions 524 to 765 of the family's 1533-position model. The record is from RNAcentral.